GACGAACGCUGGCGGCAUGCCUAAUACAUGCAAGUCGAGCGAACAGAUGAAGUGCUUGCACUUCUGACGUUAGCGGCGAACGGGUGAGUAACACGUAAGGAAUCUACCUAUAAGCGGGGGAUAACAUUCGGAAACGGGUGCUAAUACCGCAUAAUAUCUUCUUCCGCAUGGAAGAAGAUUGAAAGACGGCUCUGCUGUCACUUAUAGAUGACCUUGCGGUGCAUUAGUUAGUUGGUGGGGUAACGGCCUACCAAGACGAUGAUGCAUAGCCGGCCUGAGAGGGUGAUCGGCCACAUUGGGACUGAGACACGGCCCAAACUCCUACGGGAGGCAGCAGUAGGGAAUCUUCCGCAAUGGGCGAAAGCCUGACGGAGCAAUGCCGCGUGAGUGAAGAAGGCCUUCGGGUCGUAAAACUCUGUUAUAGGAGAAGAACAAAUUGUAGAGUAACUGCUACAGUCUUGACGGUAUCUUAUCAGAAAGCCACGGCUAACUACGUGCCAGCCGCCGCAGUAA
Molecule: ribosomal RNA, 513 nt
Filed under: uncultured bacterium
Lineage: Bacteria
Description: partial 16S ribosomal RNA
Rfam family: Bacterial small subunit ribosomal RNA
Source: RNAcentral